Solea senegalensis (Senegalese sole) is the source of this 341-nucleotide long non-coding RNA. RefSeq lists it as uncharacterized. The transcript has 2 exons. NCBI's taxonomy places the organism in Eukaryota, Metazoa, Chordata, Actinopteri, Pleuronectiformes, Soleidae. The record is from RefSeq and is a predicted model, not a curated record.
GAAAUGGGAGGAAGUCCAUGUGAGACGCAGCGGCGUGAACAAACAAUAAAGUUGUUUUCUUUGAAAAGUAAAUGCUUUUAAAUGGUCUAAUCUCACUGACGACGAGGCUACGACGCGGGAAGAGCGGAGGUUUUCCUCACCUUCUGCAGAUCUUCUAUGGAGCGCUCGGUCUCCUUCAGACGCUCCCGCAGAACCUGCUCUUUGGCGGAGAUCAGAGACUCUUCACUCUCCAGUGCACCGAUGUCAGACUCCAGACUGUGAACACAAAAGAGACGAGACCAGGUCUUCGGUUAGGGACCAAGAACAAGCGGAAGAAUCAAGAAUAAACUCAGAGCAGAGAA